GGGGAUGUGGCGGAACUGGUAGACGCAGCAGACUCAAAAUCUGCCGGGGGCAACCCCAUCGGAGUUCGAUUCUCCGCAUCCCCA
Molecule: transfer RNA, 84 nt
Filed under: Nitrospirota bacterium
Lineage: Bacteria; Pseudomonadati; Nitrospirota
Also listed under: 2 other names
Description: Nitrospirae bacterium (groundwater metagenome) tRNA-Leu
Rfam family: tRNA
About the family: Transfer RNA (tRNA) molecules are approximately 80 nucleotides in length. Their secondary structure includes four short double-helical elements and three loops (D, anti-codon, and T loops).
Source: RNAcentral